UAAGGAAUAUUGGACAAUGGGGGCAACCCUGAUCCAGCCAUGCCGCGUGAGUGAAGAAGGUCUUCGGGUUGUAAAGCUCUUUUACAUGUGAAGAUGAUGACGGUAACAUGGGAAUAAGCACCGGCAAACUUCGUGCCAGCAGCCGCGGUAAUACGAAGGGUGCAAGCGUUGUUCGGAAUUACUGGGCGUAAAGGGCGCGUAGGCGGACAUUUUAGUUAGGGGUGAAAUCCCGGGGCUUAACCUCGGAAUUGCCUUUAAAACGGGGUGUCUAGAGAGAUUGAGGGGAUAAUGGAAUACCCAGUGUAGAGGUGGAAUUCGUAGAUAUUGGGUAGAACACCGGUGGCGAAAGCGAUUAUCUGGCAAUCAACUGACGCUGAGGCGCGAAAGCGUGGGGAUCAAACA
RNAcentral lists this ribosomal RNA (402 nucleotides) under uncultured Alphaproteobacteria bacterium. Its description in RNAcentral is "partial 16S ribosomal RNA". It matches the Rfam family "Bacterial small subunit ribosomal RNA", at positions 355 to 774 of the family's 1533-position model. The record is from RNAcentral. Lineage: Bacteria; Pseudomonadati; Pseudomonadota; Alphaproteobacteria.